Molecule: ribosomal RNA, 489 nt
Filed under: Rhipidiinae sp. UPOL ZL0087
Lineage: Eukaryota; Metazoa; Arthropoda; Insecta; Coleoptera; Ripiphoridae
Description: partial 16S ribosomal RNA
Source: RNAcentral
CAUAGUUUUUUGAUAAUAAUUUAAAAUAAGAUCUGCUCCAUGAAUUUUAAAUAGCUGCAGUAUUUUGACUGUACAAAGGUAGCAUAAUCAAUAGUUUUUUUAUUGAAAACUGGAAUGAAUGAUUUAAUGAAAAAUUUUCUUUCUUUAUUGAAUAAAUUAAAUUUUAUUUUUAAGUGAAAAAGCUUGAAUAUUUAAAUUAGACGAGAAGACCCUAUAGAUUUUUAUUUAAUUUAUGAUUAAAAGAAUUGUUUAAAAUGAUUUAAAUUUAAUUGGGGAGGUGAAUAAAUUUAGUAAACUUUAUUUUUAAAGAUCAUUAAUUUAUGAAUAAAAAAUUUAUUUAGAUUAAAAUAAGUGUAAAUACCUUAGGGAUAACAGCAUAAUUUUUUUUGAAAGUUCUUAUUGAAAAAAAAGAUUAUGACCUCGAUGUUGGAUUAAGUUUAAUAAUUAAUGUAUGUAUUAAUAUAUUUAGUCUGUUCGACUAUUAAAAAC